Molecule: ribosomal RNA, 494 nt
Filed under: uncultured bacterium
Lineage: Bacteria
Description: partial 16S ribosomal RNA
Rfam family: Bacterial small subunit ribosomal RNA
Source: RNAcentral
GACGAACGCUGGCGGCGUGCUUAACACAUGCAAGUCGAACGGAAAGGCCUGCUUUCCCUUGUGGAUUGCGGGUACUCGAGUGGCGAACGGGUGAGUAACACGUGAGUGAUCUGCCCCCAACUUGGGUAUAAGCCUGGGAAACUGGGUCUAAUUCCCGAUAGGACUGCAGGGUGGUGCCUGUGGUGGAAAACGAUUUUCUAGUGGUUGGGGAUGAGCUCGCGGCCUAUCAGCUUGUUGGUGGGGUAAUGGCCUACCAAGGCGGCGACGGGUAGCCGGCCUGAGAGGGUGGACGGCCACAGUGGGACUGAGAUACGGCCCAGACUCCUACGGGAGGCAGCAGUGGGGAAUAUUGCACAAUGGGCGGAAGCCUGAUGCAGCGACGCAGCGUGGGGGAUGACGGCCUUCGGGUUGUAAACUCCUUUCGACCGCGAGGAAGCCACCUGGUUGGAAGGGUGGUGACGGUAGUGGUAGAAGAAGCACCGGCUAACUACGUG